GACGUAGGGCGCGAGCGUUGUCCGGAUUUAUUGGGCGUAAAGAGCUCGUAGGCGGCUUGUCGCGUCGACUGUGAAAACCCGCGGCUCAACUGCGGGCCUGCAGCCGAUACGGGCAGGCUAGAGUUCGGUAGGGGAGACUGGAAUUCCUGGUGUAGCGGUGAAAUGCGCAGAUACCAGGAGGAACACCAGCGGCGAAGGCGGCGCUCUGGGCCGGAACUGACGCUGAGGAGCGAAAGCGUGGGUAGCAAACAGG
RNAcentral lists this ribosomal RNA (253 nucleotides) under uncultured bacterium. Its description in RNAcentral is "partial 16S ribosomal RNA". It matches the Rfam family "Bacterial small subunit ribosomal RNA", at positions 524 to 776 of the family's 1533-position model. The record is from RNAcentral.